This 690-nucleotide ribosomal RNA is filed under the name uncultured Gigaspora. RNAcentral describes it as "SSU rRNA". It matches the Rfam family "Eukaryotic small subunit ribosomal RNA", at positions 368 to 1065 of the family's 1831-position model. Lineage: Eukaryota; Fungi; Glomeromycota; Glomeromycetes; Diversisporales; Gigasporaceae. The record is from RNAcentral.
AAUUAGGGUUCGAUUCCGGAGAGGGAGCCUGAGAAACGGCUACCACAUCCAAGGAAGGCAGCAGGCGCGCAAAUUACCCAAUCCCGAUACGGGGAGGUAGUGACAAUAAAUAACAAUACAGGGCUCUUAUGGGUCUUGUAAUUGGAAUGAGUACAAUUUAAAUCCCUUUACGAGGAACGAUUGGAGGGCAAGUCUGGUGCCAGCAGCCGCGGUAAUUCCAGCUCCAAUAGCGUAUAUUAAAGUUGUUGCAGUUAAAAAGCUCGUAGUUGAAUUUCGGGGUUCUACCGUUGGUCGGGCAAUUGUCUGUACUGGCGUGUAGAAUUUCUACCUUCUGGGGAACUAUCAUGUUAUUAAUUUAGCGUGGUAGGAAACCAGGACCUUUACCUUGAAAAAAUUAGAGUGUUCAAAGCAGGCUUACGUCUGAAUACAUUAGCAUGGAAUAAUAAAAUAGGACGGUGGUCCUGUUUUGUUGGUUUCUGAAUCACCGUAAUGAUUAAUAGGGAUAGUUGGGGGCAUUAGUAUUCAAUUGUCAGAGGUGAAAUUCUUGGAUUUAUUGAAGACUAACUUCUGCGAAAGCAUUUGCCAAGGAUGUUUUCAUUAAUCAAGAACGAAAGUUAGGGGAUCGAAGACGAUCAGAUACCGUCGUAGUCUUAACCAUAAACUAUGCCGACUAGGAAUCGGACGAUGUUA